CAUGUAGGCGGAUUAAUAAGUUUGAAGUGAAAUCCUAUAGCUUAACUAUAGAACUGCUUUGAAAACUGUUAAUCUAGAAUGUGGGAGAGGUAGAUGGAAUUUCUGGUGUAGGGUAAAAUCCGUAGAGAUCAGAAGGAAUACCGAUUGCGAAAGCGAUCUACUGGAACAUUAUUGACGCUGAGAUGCGAAAGCGUGGGGAGCAAACA
RNAcentral lists this ribosomal RNA (206 nucleotides) under uncultured bacterium. RNAcentral describes it as "partial 16S ribosomal RNA". It matches the Rfam family "Bacterial small subunit ribosomal RNA", at positions 568 to 774 of the family's 1533-position model. The record is from RNAcentral.